CAAAGAUUACUGCUUGUGAGUUUCUGCUCUGGAUGAGAACCACAAGCAUGAGAACAUGAGGAUAAAUACACUUUGGGGAAAAAGAAAACAGACAGAGGCAGCAGAGAAGGAAGACGAGAAGAAGAGAAAAAGAGAAGUAGGAAGAGGAUGAAUUCAUUUCGCUUAUCUGGCAAAUGUGUAAUCUGAGUAAUAGAGAAUCAUCCAGAGCUCCUGUGCUAUAAUGGCAGUUUGAACCGCUGGAGCCGAGAUUUGAGCCCCGGGACCCAUCAGUCCUGCUGGACCGUCUGUGAAACUGGUCCUGAACCCAGUGACCUCCGCCUCUGGGGGCAAUUCCAUCUCCAGUGGUUUUUGCCACAGGCUGGACAGGGUCGAAGUUGCUUCGUCUUGCUGCCUGGGCAAUCCUUAAAAUGCCCUGGCCUGCCACAUCAAUAGCAACUAGCAGAUGCACCUUGGGGAUUCUGGAUGUUGCAAGCCUGCAAAGCUGCUGCUAGAGCCUCUGUCCGUCUCCCGAGCUUGCUCUCUUUCUUUUGGGCAUCCUCCUCCUGGUCCAUAUUAUUAAAGACCGAAGUGGCCACUUUCAGGAGGCUCUCUAAGGUGCUGUCUGGUCCUGUACCUUGGUUUUGUAGUUUCC
RNAcentral lists this long non-coding RNA (631 nucleotides) under Homo sapiens (human). RNAcentral describes it as "non-protein coding lnc-ZNF582-6:3". The record is from RNAcentral. Lineage: Eukaryota; Metazoa; Chordata; Mammalia; Primates; Hominidae.